UCUGACCCAGAAGAACAGGUAGUGUAGUUAGAACAAUCAGCUGUCCCAGGAACCCUGCCAAGAAGCUCCAAGUUCUUGGCAGUAGCUUCGCCAUAGCAACAGGCUUCCACGGGAGCCCUGCUAGAAAGGGUGGAGGAGGAGAGCUCCACAUUCCCGACAUCGCCACCCCUGUUGGAGGCAGCGGCCACGGAAUGUGUUGUAUCAGUCACAGAAAGAAAGCCAGAGCCUGCUAAAUCACAUCUCAAAUCACUAAACUGGAUCCUUUUAGAUUCAUACAAAUUGGGCUGCUCUCGAGCUGCAGAUCCUGAAUUGCGAAUGAGACAGGCUUCAAGGCUUCCAAACAAUUUGUCUGUAUCUCCACAGAAGCUUUCCUGAGCUCUCCCGCCUCCACCCCAUCCAUCUCUCUGGGCAGAGCCAUCCCUGCCCUGCCCAGCCCCUGGCUGUCACCUGUCACCUCUGUCCACCCUCCUGCCCGCUCCCCCACAGGCAGGGCCAAAUCCAAAGCCCCCCUCCAGCUACAACUGGAGGCUGAGGGGUUACAAGUGGUGAAAACCCUGGAAGGGGCUUGGGGGAAGAAUUAACACAAAAAGAGGUCUCCCAACUGCAAAGCAAUCUGUCCAUCUGAGCCUGAUCUGAGGGGGUAACCUCUUGGGAAGGGGAAACUUCUGGCAGGGGUGACUCCCACAGCCCCCUGGCAGGCAGAGCGGAUCCAGAGCCCCCCGUGGCAAACCCUGCCUGCAACACUUCCAAACAAGGCCCGGCCGCAGCUUGUUCGGAAGAGAAGCAGGGAACAGAAACAGCAGCCACUGUUUUGCAAAGCUUCCCCAAACUCUCAUCUCCUGGACCCAUUAGAAUCCCAGCCUCCCCAGAACAUGAUCACGGACCCCCCAGAUUCUCAGAACACAACAAAAAUUGCGAACGCUUUCCCAGGAGCCCCGGGCUGGAUGAUUUCGUGGAGGGAUGGGAGGACGCCCAGUGCAGCAUCAGUGAUGCAGGGAAUUCCAGAAGAAACAGAGGACACGACUGAAGCUGGAAGCUGAUCGGAUUCCCCCUUCCUGGGGUUCAGGGUGUUGUUCACACUGCCUGGGGAAACCCCAGACACACCAGGAGAAUGAAAGGAAUCCCGAAAAAAAAACCUGACACCCCCCCAGAGGAGGACAAAAUGCAGCACCACUCAGAAUUAAAGUUUCAGAACCAGGUGUCCUGAUUUGGUACUCAAGAAAGUCUCUGCCAUGAUCAUUCAGUUUGAAACUCUCCAUUAAAGCUCUGGAGAUAGGCAUUA
Non-coding RNA from Taeniopygia guttata (zebra finch), 1282 nucleotides. Lineage: Eukaryota; Metazoa; Chordata; Aves; Passeriformes; Estrildidae. The record is from RefSeq and is a predicted model, not a curated record.